Molecule: ribosomal RNA, 2907 nt
Filed under: Klebsiella oxytoca
Lineage: Bacteria; Pseudomonadati; Pseudomonadota; Gammaproteobacteria; Enterobacterales; Enterobacteriaceae
Description: 23S ribosomal RNA
Rfam family: Bacterial large subunit ribosomal RNA
Source: RNAcentral
GGUUAAGCGACUAAGCGUACACGGUGGAUGCCCUGGCAGUCAGAGGCGAUGAAGGACGUGCUAAUCUGCGAAAAGCGUCGGUAAGGUGAUAUGAACCGUUACAGCCGGCGAUGUCCGAAUGGGGAAACCCAGUGCAAUUCGUUGCACUAUCGUUAACUGAAUACAUAGGUUAACGAGGCGAACCGGGGGAACUGAAACAUCUAAGUACCCCGAGGAAAAGAAAUCAACCGAGAUUCCCCCAGUAGCGGCGAGCGAACGGGGAGCAGCCCGGAGUCUGAAUCAGCUUGUGUGUUAGUGGAAGCGUCUGGAAAGUCGCAGGGUACAGGGUGAUACUCCCGUACACUAAAACACACAGGUUGUGAACUCGAAGAGUAGGGCGGGACACGUGGUAUCCUGUCUGAAUAUGGGGGGACCAUCCUCCAAGGCUAAAUACUCCUGACUGACCGAUAGUGAACCAGUACCGUGAGGGAAAGGCGAAAAGAACCCCGGCGAGGGGAGUGAAAAAGAACCUGAAACCGUGUACGUACAAGCAGUAGGAGCCCACUAGUUGGGUGACUGCGUACCUUUUGUAUAAUGGGUCAGCGACUUAUAUUCUGUAGCAAGGUUAACCGUAUAGGGGAGCCGCAGGGAAACCGAGUCUUAACUGGGCGUUAAGUUGCAGGGUAUAGACCCGAAACCCGGUGAUCUAGCCAUGGGCAGGUUGAAGGUUGGGUAACACUAACUGGAGGACCGAACCGACUAAUGUUGAAAAAUUAGCGGAUGACUUGUGGCUGGGGGUGAAAGGCCAAUCAAACCGGGAGAUAGCUGGUUCUCCCCGAAAGCUAUUUAGGUAGCGCCUCGUGAACUCAUCUUCGGGGGUAGAGCACUGUUUCGGCUAGGGGGUCAUCCCGACUUACCAACCCGAUGCAAACUACGAAUACCGAAGAAUGUUAUCACGGGAGACACACGGCGGGUGCUAACGUCCGUCGUGAAGAGGGAAACAACCCAGACCGCCAGCUAAGGUCCCAAAGUCAUGGUUAAGUGGGAAACGAUGUGGGAAGGCCCAGACAGCCAGGAUGUUGGCUUAGAAGCAGCCAUCAUUUAAAGAAAGCGUAAUAGCUCACUGGUCGAGUCGGCCUGCGCGGAAGAUGUAACGGGGCUAAACCAUGCACCGAAGCUGCGGCAGCGACGCUUAUGCGUUGUUGGGUAGGGGAGCGUUCUGUAAGCCGUUGAAGGUGGCCUGUGAGGGUUGCUGGAGGUAUCAGAAGUGCGAAUGCUGACAUAAGUAACGAUAAUGCGGGUGAAAAACCCGCACGCCGGAAGACCAAGGGUUCCUGUCCAACGUUAAUCGGGGCAGGGUGAGUCGACCCCUAAGGCGAGGCCGAAAGGCGUAGUCGAUGGGAAACAGGUUAAUAUUCCUGUACUUGGUGUUACUGCGAAGGGGGGACGGAGAAGGCUAUGUUGGCCGGGCGACGGUUGUCCCGGUUUAAGCAUGUAGGCGGAUGUUCCAGGUAAAUCCGGAACGUUACUAACGCUGAGGUGUGAUGACGAGGCACUACGGUGCUGAAGUGACAAAUGCCCUGCUUCCAGGAAAAGCCUCUAAGCAUCAGGUAACAUCAAAUCGUACCCCAAACCGACACAGGUGGUCAGGUAGAGAAUACCAAGGCGCUUGAGAGAACUCGGGUGAAGGAACUAGGCAAAAUGGUGCCGUAACUUCGGGAGAAGGCACGCUGAUGGUAGGUGAAGUGACUUGCUCAUGGAGCUGAAAUCAGUCGAAGAUACCAGCUGGCUGCAACUGUUUAUUAAAAACACAGCACUGUGCAAACACGAAAGUGGACGUAUACGGUGUGACGCCUGCCCGGUGCCGGAAGGUUAAUUGAUGGGGUUAUCCUCGCGGAGAAGCUCUUGAUCGAAGCCCCGGUAAACGGCGGCCGUAACUAUAACGGUCCUAAGGUAGCGAAAUUCCUUGUCGGGUAAGUUCCGACCUGCACGAAUGGCGUAAUGAUGGCCAGGCUGUCUCCACCCGAGACUCAGUGAAAUUGAACUCGCUGUGAAGAUGCAGUGUACCCGCGGCAAGACGGAAAGACCCCGUGAACCUUUACUAUAGCUUGACACUGAACACUGGUCCUUGAUGUGUAGGAUAGGUGGGAGGCUUUGAAGUGUGGACGCCAGUCUGCAUGGAGCCAUCCUUGAAAUACCACCCUUUAAUGGCUGGUGUUCUAACGUGGGCCCGUGAUCCGGGUUGCGGACAGUGUCUGGUGGGUAGUUUGACUGGGGCGGUCUCCUCCUAAAGAGUAACGGAGGAGCACGAAGGUCAGCUAAUCCUGGUCGGACAUCAGGAGGUUAGUGCAAUGGCAUAAGCUGGCUUGACUGCGAGCGUGACGGCGCGAGCAGGUGCGAAAGCAGGUCAUAGUGAUCCGGUGGUUCUGAAUGGAAGGGCCAUCGCUCAACGGAUAAAAGGUACUCCGGGGAUAACAGGCUGAUACCGCCCAAGAGUUCAUAUCGACGGCGGUGUUUGGCACCUCGAUGUCGGCUCAUCACAUCCUGGGGCUGAAGUAGGUCCCAAGGGUAUGGCUGUUCGCCAUUUAAAGUGGUACGCGAGCUGGGUUUAGAACGUCGUGAGACAGUUCGGUCCCUAUCUGCCGUGGGCGCUGGAGAAUUGAGGGGGGCUGCUCCUAGUACGAGAGGACCGGAGUGGACGCAUCACUGGUGUUCGGGUUGUCAUGCCAAUGGCAUUGCCCGGUAGCUAAAUGCGGAAGAGAUAAGUGCUGAAAGCAUCUAAGCACGAAACUUGCCCCGAGAUGAGUUCUCCCUGACCCUUUAAGGGUCCUGAAGGAACGUUGAAGACGACGACGUUGAUAGGCCGGGUGUGUAAGCGCAGCGAUGCGUUGAGCUAACCGGUACUAAUGAACCGUGAGGCUUAACCUU